AUUUUCUUCCAACUAAUCACCCAUUCUUCCUCCCUCUCAUCUCUCUCCUCCAACCCCAAAACCCUAGACGCGACCCUCCGCCGGCGCCGCUCGCCGCCGCCUGCGGCCAUGGAUCUCCUCCGCUGGCACCUCCACAAGGUCCGCUUCCCGGAGCCCACCAACCGCAUCCACAAGGACGAGUGCUGCGUCUCCUUCGACACCCCGAGGUCGGAGGGGGGCCUGUACGUGGACAUGAGCUCGUUCCUGGGGUUCGGGAGGGAGCAUGUGGAGUGGAACUUCGAGAAGACCGGGAACCCCGUGUACCUCCACAUCGUGCAGCGCCGGAAGCCGGACCCCGACGAGGCGGAUCGCCCGCUUAAGAAGCCCGCACUCCUCGCGAUAGGUGUUGAAGGAGGCUUUGGUGAUCAAGAACCUGAAUAUGAUGAGCAUUUUGAAAUCAUCAUCUUACCUGAAUUUAUCUCUCUUCCAUUCCCUUCAGUUGACUUGCCAGAGAAGGUUAGGCUUGCAGUUGUUAAGGUUAUCCUUACUGAGAGUGCUGAUAGAAAACAACAACUAGCUGCUUGGGUUGCUGAUAAGAAGAACAUUAGUAAAUAUGCUAUGGAUCUGCAGCAGCUAGACAAUGGUGUUAUUGUGCCUCCUACUGGAUGGAAGUGUAGCAAAUGUGAUAAAACUGAGAACCUCUGGUUGAAUUUAACUGAUGGUAUGAUCCUUUGUGGGAGAAAGCUUUGGGAUGGAAGUGGUGGGAAUAAUCAUGCAAUUGAACACUACGAACAGACUAAAUACCCUCUUGCAGUAAAGCUUGGAACAAUAACUGCUGAUUUGGAAGCCGCAGACGUUUUCUCAUACCCGGAAGACGAUAGUGUUGAAGAUCCACUAUUGGCUCAGCACUUGUCACAUUUCUGUAUCGAUUUUUCUUCACUUCAAAAGACUGAGAUGACUACUGCCGAGAGUUAUGACUGGAAUAGAAUACAAGAAAGUGGAAAAGAUGCUGAACUUCUAUUUGGACUUGGCUAUACUGGUCUUGCAAACCUAGGGAAUAGUUGCUAUAUGGCUUCAAUAAUGCAAGUCAUGUUUUCAACUCAUCCUUUCAUAUCGAGAUACUUCGAGAAGCAGAGUUUGAAAGCUGCAUUUGCAGCUGCACCUGCUGAUCCAACUGUGGACCUAAACAUGCAGAUGACAAAACUAGGACAUGGUUUGCUCUCUGGAAAAUAUUCUGCACGAACCAAGGAGGGGCAGGAAGGGAUACGUCCUCGCAUGUUUAAGUCAGUUAUUGCUGCGAACCAUCCUGAAUUUUCUAGUAUGAGGCAACAGGAUGCACUUGACUUCUUCCUUCACCUUAUUGACCGAGUUGAGCAGGCAAACCCUGGGAACCAUGAGUUAAAUCCUUGUUCAGGUUUCAAGUUCAUUAUUGAGGAGAGGGUCCAGUGCCCUUCUGGGAAAGUUUCUUACAACAAACGGUCGGACUACAUUCUUUCUUUGGGCAUACCACUGCAUGAGGCAACUAAUAAAGAGGAGCUAGAAGCUUUUAAUGAGAAGAAAGCUGCAAUGGACUUGGAUGGAAAAGAAGUGUCUAAUGAGGAAAUUGUGAGGCCUAGAGUCCCAUUGGAGGCAUGCUUGGCAAACUUUGCAGGCCCAGAGGAAAUUCCUGAUUUUUACAGCACUGCUUUAAAUUCGAAGACGACUGCCACAAAGACUGCUGGCUUUAACACCUUUCCUGAUUACCUGGUGCUGCAUAUGCGCAAGUUUGUAAUGGAAGCAGGAUGGGUGCCAAAGAAACUCUAUGUUUAUAUAGAUGUGCCAGAUACAAUUGAUAUCUCACAUAUGCGCAGCAAGGGUGUACAGCCUGGGGAAGAGCUGCUACCCGAAGGAGCUUCUGGUGACAACAAAGCGGAGCCUGCUCUACCUGUUGCCAGUGAGGAUAUUGUGUCCCAGCUUGCAAGUAUGGGGUUCAAUUACCUUCACUGUCUGAAAGCUGCUAUUAACACAUCAAACACAGGAGUUGAGGAGGCAAUGAAUUGGCUCCUCUCACACAUGGACGAUCGAGUUUAUUUUGCGAUGCAGAUAUUAAUGAUCCCAUAUCAAAAGAUUCACGUGCUUCUGAAUCUGUUGAUGAAGCAAGUGUUCAAACUCUCAUUUCCUUUGGAUUCCCAGAAGAAAUUGCCACAAUGGCCCUGAAAGCUUCUGGUGGUAAUAUCGAGAAAGCUACCGAUUGGAUUUUCAGCCAGGCAUCGAGUUCAGCAUCUGCUGACUCUUCAACUAGUAAUGUAAAUGCUGAUGACACUUACGUACCAGAUGGAUGUGGCAUAUACAAGCUGAUGGCUUUUGUGAGCCAUAUGGGCACAUCCACGAACUGCGGGCACUAUGUCGCUCAUGUCCUCGUGGACGGGAGGUGGACAAUAUUCAACGACAGCAAGGUUGCCGCAUCUGUCGACCUGCCCAAGGAUAUGGGCUACCUCUAUUUCUUUCAGAGGAUUAGCAGCUAGGCACUAGGCCUGGGCAAAAAUAACUGAACUGAAAAACCGAACCGAAAGAACUGAAUUACCGAAAGAACUGAACUGAAAAAUUCGUUUCCUUAUUCGCUUCCUGAUAUUGAGGAACCGAAAUAACCGAAGAAAAUCGGUUCCUACUCGGUUAACUUAAUUAACCGAAAGAACCGAAUUACAUGAAUGAUACUUAACUUGUAUUUUGUAAGAUUAUGUUUGGUUUAUGUGUGGUGUUUCAUAUUUGAACUACUAUAUAUUUGUGUUACUAUA
Setaria italica (foxtail millet) is the source of this 2753-nucleotide RNA transcript. It is a transcript of the gene named ubiquitin carboxyl-terminal hydrolase 14, with no coding region annotated. The transcript is spliced from 19 exons. The record is from RefSeq and is a predicted model, not a curated record. Lineage: Eukaryota; Viridiplantae; Streptophyta; Magnoliopsida; Poales; Poaceae.